This 191-nucleotide small nucleolar RNA is filed under the name Escovopsis weberi. The record is from RNAcentral. Lineage: Eukaryota; Fungi; Ascomycota; Sordariomycetes; Hypocreales; Hypocreaceae.
CCGUCUUAUGCCAACGCUCGGCCAGCAUGUCCCCGCCUGCUGAUCUUGAGCCGGAUGCGCCGACGACUCACCCCGGUGAGCCGUACGCGUACGAGACAAUAUAAAACCCCGACGACAGUCUUUGAGUACGAGACCCUCGCUACUCCGGUAGAGCUCUACGAGGGGCCUUGUAAUUAUCAGUUGUCACAUUU